UCGAACGAUGAAGCCCAGCUUGCUGGGUGGAUUAGUGGCGAACGGGUGAGUAACACGUGAGCAACGUGCCCAUAACUCUGGGAUAACCUCCGGAAACGGUGGCUAAUACUGGAUAUCUAACAUGAUCGCAUGGUCUGUGUUUGGAAAGAUUUUUUGGUUAUGGAUCGGCUCACGGCCUAUCAGCUUGUUGGUGAGGUAAUGGCUCACCAAGGCGACGACGGGUAGCCGGCCUGAGAGGGUGACCGGCCACACUGGGACUGAGACACGGCCCAGACUCCUACGGGAGGCAGCAGUGGGGAAUAUUGCACAAUGGGCGAAAGCCUGAUGCAGCAACGCCGCGUGAGGGAUGACGGCCUUCGGGUUGUAAACCUCUUUUAGUAGGGAAGAAGCGAAAGUGACGGUACCUGCAGAAAAAGCACCGGCUAACUACGUGCCAGCAGCCGCGGUAAUACGUAGGGUGCAAGCGUUGUCCGGAAUUAUUGGGCGUAAAGAGCUCGUAGGCGGUUUGUCGCGUCUGCUGUGAAAUCCCGAGGCUCAACCUCGGGUCUGCAGUGGGUACGGGCAGACUAGAGUGUGGUAGGGGAGAUUGGAAUUCCUGGUGUAGCGGUGGAAUGCGCAGAUAUCAGGAGGAACACCGAUGGCGAAGGCAGAUCUCUGGGCCAUUACUGACGCUGAGGAGCGAAAGCAUGGGGAGCGAACAGGAUUAGAUACCCUGGUAGUCCAUGCCGUAAACGUUGGGCGCUAGAUGUGGGGACCAUUCCACGGUUUCCGUGUCGUAGCUAACGCAUUAAGCGCCCCGCCUGGGGAGUACGGCCGCAAGGCUAAAACUCAAAGGAAUUGACGGGGGCCCGCACAAGCGGCGGAGCAUGCGGAUUAAUUCGAUGCAACGCGAAGAA
RNAcentral lists this ribosomal RNA (896 nucleotides) under Pseudoclavibacter helvolus. RNAcentral describes it as "bacterial SSU rRNA". It matches the Rfam family "Bacterial small subunit ribosomal RNA", at positions 62 to 968 of the family's 1533-position model. The record is from RNAcentral. Lineage: Bacteria; Bacillati; Actinomycetota; Actinomycetes; Micrococcales; Microbacteriaceae.